AAUAGAUACCCCGGGUAGUCCACGCCAUAAACGAUGACAACUAGACGUUGGGAGGGUAAGCCUCUCAGUGUCGCAGCUAACGCGUUAAGUUGUCCGCCUGGGGAGUACGGCCGCAAGGUUGAAACCCAAAGGAAUUGACGGGGACCCGCACAAGCGGUGGAGCAUGUGGUUUAAUUCGAUGCAACGCGAAGAACCUUACCUGGUCUUGACAUCCACGGAAUCCUGCAGAGAUGCGGGAGUGCCGCAAGGAACCGUGAGACAGGUGCUGCAUGGCUGUCGUCAGCUCGUGUCGUGAGAUGUUGGGUUAAGUCCCGCAACGAGCGCAACCCUUGUCCUUAGUUGCCAUCAUUAAGUUGGGAACUCUAAGGAGACCGCCGGUGACAAACCGGAGGAAGGUGGGGAUGACGUCAAGUCAUCAUGGCCUUUAUGACCAGGGCUACACACGUGCUACAAUGGCAGGUACGGAGGGAGGCCAACUCGCGAGAGGGAGCCAGUCCCAGAAAGCCUGUCUUAGUCCGGAUUGGACUCUGCAACG
Molecule: ribosomal RNA, 535 nt
Filed under: uncultured bacterium
Lineage: Bacteria
Description: bacterial SSU rRNA
Rfam family: Bacterial small subunit ribosomal RNA
Source: RNAcentral